UACUAUCUUAAAAGCAGUAACUUUCUAACUUGUAUGUUAAAUUACUAAAAUACCCCAACUAAAAACACUCAAUUUAGUAUAUUUUCUAUAUUAUAUUAAAAGUAGAUACAUUUUCACAUUGAAGGCCCGGAACUAUCACAUCUUUUCUUCCCAGACGAUCUUUUAUCAUGCUUGUCAGAUUCAUAGCACUGGUUUGUCUUCUCCUUCUCUAGUUAACGUGUUUUACAAGUUCUGUCAAUGUGAUAUCUAUCUUUUUAAGUAGAGAGCACUACUUUUUAUAAGCAAAAUGAUCUAUAAUCCCCUUAAUGUUGACUACUUUGCAACCUCGCCGUUAAACAGUUCUUGGCCUUCUUUUCUCAGACUAUUUUAACUCCGUGUUGGAGACAUUUCCAUCAGGGUUGCUGUUAGAACUACUACCACUGCUAACACUGUCAUAUACUUUCUAUGGAUGUUUCAGUCACUAACCAGGUACAUUGAGUUUUAGGAUGCAAUGUCUGUGCCAAUGGCUAUUGCUUUACCUGGUCGCUUGCUUUUUGGCCAACCAGUCAUCGUAAAACCUUCUGAAGCGGAUAAGAACCUUGUUUAGUCAACCGCAUCUAGUGCUGGAUCAGGGUUGGCAGGGACAAAUACUGCCUCUGAGAGAACUUUAUGUAGGAAAUCUUCAUUUUAACAUGACAGCGUUACAGCUCAGAUAGUUUGCUCAACUUGAACAUGCAAAGGCAUCUCAAAGUUUGAAUUGCAAGCUUGAGAUUGCGGGUCGCACCAUCAAGGUUUCAUCCGUUGCUGAAGAUGUUCGAGUACAAGAUGCUGGAGCUAAAACUGCUGAUUUUAAUGAUGAUGAAGGAGGAGGCUUGGUUUGCUUGACUGUUUAUAGGCAUGGAGGUUCUUUCAGUGGCAAACCCUGUGAAUAUUCAUCAACAGUAACAUAAUUUGAUUUAGGCUGAUAGUUAUAACUCAUGUAAGAGCUGGUUCUGUCUAAUUAAUUGGACUCAUCUUUUCUCCCUUUUGGCAACAGUGUGGUGAUCACUCACAAAUGGUUUCUUACAUCAUUUUUAUUUUUGUUGUGAUAUUGUUAGAUAACUUGUACUGAUGAAUAUUAUAAUACGACUUGU
This is a long non-coding RNA of Solanum stenotomum, 1112 nucleotides long. RefSeq lists it as uncharacterized. The transcript is spliced from 5 exons. NCBI's taxonomy places the organism in Eukaryota, Viridiplantae, Streptophyta, Magnoliopsida, Solanales, Solanaceae. The record is from RefSeq and is a predicted model, not a curated record.